AGCAGCCGCGGUAAUUCCAGCUCCAAUAGCGUAUAUUAAAGUUGUUGCAGUUAAAAAGCUCGUAGUUGAAUUUCGGGGUUAGUAGGUCGGUCGUGCCACUGGUAUGUACUGGCCUCACUGGCUCCUCCUUCCUGAUGAACCGUAAUGCCAUUAAUUUGGUGUUGCGGGGAGACUGGACUGUUACUUUGAAAAAAUUAGAGUGUUUAAAGCAGGCUAACGCUUGAAUACAUUAGCAUGGAAUAACGGAAUAGGACGUUCGAUCUUAUUUUGUUGGUUUCUAAGAUUGACGUAAUGAUUAAUAGGGAUAGUUGGGGGCAUUAGUAUUCAAUUGUCAGAGGUGAAAUUCUUGGAUUUAUUGAAGACUAACUACUACGAAAGCAUUUGCCAAGGAUGUUUUCAUUAAUCAAGAACGAAAGUUAGGGGAUCGAAGACGAUCAGAUACCGUCGUAGUCUUAACCAUAAACUAUGCCGACUAGGGAUCUGAUGAUGUUAAUUUUUUAAUGACUCAUUCGGCGCCUUA
Molecule: small RNA, 520 nt
Filed under: uncultured Glomus
Lineage: Eukaryota; Fungi; Glomeromycota; Glomeromycetes; Glomerales; Glomeraceae
Description: SSU rRNA
Rfam family: Eukaryotic small subunit ribosomal RNA
Source: RNAcentral